UGUGAAAAUGAUGACCAAGGGGAUCUGAAAUAAUUUGAAGUAAAGAUGUCAUCCAUUUUCUGAUUCACA
Small nucleolar RNA from Hypanus sabinus (Atlantic stingray), 69 nucleotides. RefSeq annotates it as small nucleolar RNA SNORD123. The transcript has a single exon. NCBI's taxonomy places the organism in Eukaryota, Metazoa, Chordata, Chondrichthyes, Myliobatiformes, Dasyatidae. The record is from RefSeq and is a predicted model, not a curated record.